Molecule: ribosomal RNA, 736 nt
Filed under: Streptomyces sp.
Lineage: Bacteria; Bacillati; Actinomycetota; Actinomycetes; Kitasatosporales; Streptomycetaceae
Description: bacterial SSU rRNA
Rfam family: Bacterial small subunit ribosomal RNA
Source: RNAcentral
UGCAGUCGAACGAUGAACCUCCUUCGGGAGGGGAUUAGUGGCGAACGGGUGAGUAACACGUGGGCAAUCUGCCCUGCACUCUGGGACAAGCCCUGGAAACGGGGUCUAAUACCGGAUACUGACCCGCUUGGGCAUCCAAGCGGUUCGAAAGCUCCGGCGGUGCAGGAUGAGCCCGCGGCCUAUCAGCUUGUUGGUGAGGUAAUGGCUCACCAAGGCGACGACGGGUAGCCGGCCUGAGAGGGCGACCGGCCACACUGGGACUGAGACACGGCCCAGACUCCUACGGGAGGCAGCAGUGGGGAAUAUUGCACAAUGGGCGAAAGCCUGAUGCAGCGACGCCGCGUGAGGGAUGACGGCCUUCGGGUUGUAAACCUCUUUCAGCAGGGAAGAAGCGAAAGUGACGGUACCUGCAGAAGAAGCGCCGGCUAACUACGUGCCAGCAGCCGCGGUAAUACGUAGGGCGCGAGCGUUGUCCGGAAUUAUUGGGCGUAAAGAGCUCGUAGGCGGCUUGUCACGUCGGUUGUGAAAGCCCGGGGCUUAACCCCGGGUCUGCAGUCGAUACGGGCAGGCUAGAGUUCGGUAGGGGAGAUCGGAAUUCCUGGUGUAGCGGUGAAAUGCGCAGAUAUCAGGAGGAACACCGGUGGCGAAGGCGGAUCUCUGGGCCGAUACUGACGCUGAGGAGCGAAAGCGUGGGGAGCGAACAGGAUUAGAUACCCUGGUAGUCCACGCCGUAAAC